Molecule: long non-coding RNA, 827 nt
Filed under: Equus asinus (donkey)
Lineage: Eukaryota; Metazoa; Chordata; Mammalia; Perissodactyla; Equidae
Description: lncRNA (ENSEASG00005028401.1)
Source: RNAcentral
GUAUUUAAAAAAUCCCACGGAACACAGCUUGCGGAAGGCAGAGAGUGAGGCUGAAGCACGAUGACCUAGAUCUGGAGGCGGCCCGCCAGACAGCGGAGGGAAGCUCCUGCCCCUCCCCCACGGCCACCUCUCUGCCAGCGAGGGCCGGGGCUUGGGGUUGCAAAGGCUGGCUCCACCUCUCCACUGCAUCCCAGCUCCCCGGCUGGCCAUGCGAGCAUCAGGCCAGAGAGAUCGGAAAACCCUCCCAGAAUCAACAGGACGCAGCGAGGGCUCUGGUGCCCACUGCCCAGCUGCGCAGGCCAAGGCCCUCCGUGGCCCUGGUACCUGCCCUGCUGGUGGCACCCUGCCUGGUGCAUGCUGGCCUUGGGGCCCGGGCACCAGCCGGGGAGGGCAGAGUGGGUUGGUGGCACAGGUGCACUGGCUGUCAUGCCCAGGUGAGAAGGCGGCGACCAGAGCCCUCAGAGCACACAUCCGUCAUCUGGUUUCCUGGGUCUCUGGCGACUGGUCAUACUUGGGUGAGGGCAAGGACUCAGGGUCUCAGUUCACUCCCCUUCAUCAUCUCCUUCCCACCCCUCUUUCUGGCUGCAGGUCGUCGGGGGUUCCUCUGCCUGCAGAGAAGAGCCAUCUGCAGAGCUCUGCCUGCCCGGCACAGGGCAGAGGUCUGGGGCCAGGAUCACGGUGGAUGCUUAGGAGGUCAGAAAUUCAGGGGGGACUCUGCUGGGUAGUUCAUGUGAUUUCAGGCAGACAAUGUCUGGAGCUGGAGCAACUGGCUAGACGUCUCCCUUUCCGUGAAGUCUCAGCGUUUCUUCCUAACAACUCUGCAGGUG